UUUUCUUGGAGAUGAUCAAGUUACCAGCAAGAGAAGGUUGGACACAACACUUUGUUGAAUAUUAUUGCUGGGUGAGCUGGAAAGGAACCAGUAGUUACAUGGUAGCCUUUGAGUCCUUGUGAUCAGUUACAUUGUUCCCAAACUGCCAAUCUGCUGUCACAGGAUACAUUGUUCCCAAACUGCCAAUCUGCAUGUUCAUGGAGACAGAAGAGAAAGCUGGAAAGUGGCUGGUCCUUUGAUAAUGGGAUUCAAGCCAGACCGAGAGUUUUACUUUCUUUUGCUGGGGGAAUUCGAGAACUACCUUGAAUGUUAUUCCACCCAGAAGAAAAAAGGGUGCCCUGCUCUUGGCUGGAUUCCAGAGAGCACAUUUGUAUAAAAAUGUUCCCAUUAUGGAGUGUGACAUCUAUUAAUGGAGCACCAUAUGCACCAGAGCCUCUCCUUCGCCACUGCCACCGCCGCUGCCGCCUCACAACCUGAAGUGACGGAGUAGCUUUAAACUAUCACUAAAAAAUGAAACUAAGUUAAAAAAAAAAAGGAAGACAUCUGCUUGUCACCAGGAGAGAUCUGCAGAGCUGCUUGAUAAUAGAAAAGUCAAGGAAUCCUAUACAAGCCAAGGAAACCCAUCUUGCAAAUAGAAACAUUCCCCUGAAAAACAAGUUUUCAAAAACGUUGGGCCGUGUUUCUUUCCCUGGCAUUAUUGAUGCUAAAGUGGUAUAGGAUCUGGGAUCUAGGUUUUCAUUUGUUUUGUCUUUUAACUUUGUUUGACACAGGGUGAAAGAGUUAAGAAUGCACCACAGGUUGGUAUGUGGGAG
RNAcentral lists this long non-coding RNA (812 nucleotides) under Mus spicilegus (steppe mouse). RNAcentral's name for it is "lncRNA (ENSMSIG00000018277.1)". Lineage: Eukaryota; Metazoa; Chordata; Mammalia; Rodentia; Muridae. The record is from RNAcentral.